This 411-nucleotide long non-coding RNA is filed under the name Oryza brachyantha (malo sina). RNAcentral's name for it is "long non-coding RNA (OBRA_LNC002877)". The record is from RNAcentral. Lineage: Eukaryota; Viridiplantae; Streptophyta; Magnoliopsida; Poales; Poaceae.
CAUCUGGAGAACAUGGACAUCCAUCCAACUAGAAGUUGUAGAAUAUCACUUGAACUUAAGUACCUUAGGCGCAAGAAAAUUGUGGCAUUUCAGAUAUAUAAUAGCUAGUCUCGGUGUUGUUGGUUGGAUGUAUUAGGAGCCAUUCUACCGUAGCAAAGACAAUAGAUAGCCAAUGUUACUAAUGUCCAACCACAAAGAAAAAUUAACAGAACAACACUUGGUGAAUCAGCUCCCAUGCUACAUCAGAUGAGGUACACCUAGCAGUCUGCAUAGAACCCUAGUAUUGUCUGCUUCUUGACCUAUAGCCUAGAUUUAUAAAAAUGACAGUAUCUAUAUGGAAGCACUCUCUUGAUUCAAAACUCUAUGAAUAUGUUAGGAAUUAGCUUUGAUUGUUAAUUUCCAUGUGUUGAU